This 253-nucleotide ribosomal RNA is filed under the name uncultured bacterium. RNAcentral's name for it is "partial 16S ribosomal RNA". It matches the Rfam family "Bacterial small subunit ribosomal RNA", at positions 524 to 776 of the family's 1533-position model. The record is from RNAcentral.
UACGAAGGUGGCGAGCGUUGUUCGGAUUCACUGGGCGUACAGGGAGCGUAGGCGGUUAGGUAAGCCCUCCGUGAAAUCUCCGGGCCUAACCCGGAAAGUGCAGAGGGGACUGCUUGGCUAGAGGAUGGGAGAGGAGCGCGGAAUUCCCGGUGUAGCGGUGAAAUGCGUAGAGAUCGGGAGGAAGGCCGGUGGCGAAGGCGGCGCUCUGGAACAUUUCUGACGCUGAGGCUCGAAAGCGUGGGGAGCAAACAGG